RNAcentral lists this unclassified non-coding RNA (348 nucleotides) under Hevea brasiliensis (rubber tree). The record is from RNAcentral. Lineage: Eukaryota; Viridiplantae; Streptophyta; Magnoliopsida; Malpighiales; Euphorbiaceae.
GUAUAUGAGAUUUAACUUUUUACCCAAUUGUAGAGAGAAACAACCUUCAUAGAGAGAAUACUUAGAUGGUAAGAGAAGAAUAGAAUGGGAAAUUAAUUGUGGGGUUGAAAGUGAUCACUCAAUUCAUGAUACCUAUAAAAGUUUUCUUUUCCAAAAGCAAUCUUCCCUUUCAAUGGGAUCACUCCUUUUAAUGGAAUUAGGCAGGAUCUAUUAUUAAUGUAUAACUGGGGUGGUUAUGUAGUCCUUUUGCCUAAAAGGUCAGCAAUUUCAUAAAUUCUUCUUUUACAUUAGCAAAUCAGAUUGAUUCCCUUUUUCGAUGAAUGAAAAUUUGUGAUUCUGCAUUUUCUG